ACUUAGAUAGCUUAAAUAAAGCAUC
This 25-nucleotide transfer RNA is filed under the name Hynobius setouchi. RNAcentral's name for it is "partial tRNA-Thr". The record is from RNAcentral. Lineage: Eukaryota; Metazoa; Chordata; Amphibia; Caudata; Hynobiidae.